CCUACGGGAGGCAGCAGUGAGGAAUAUUGGUCAAUGGCCGGAAGUCUGAACCAGCCAUGCCGCGUGAAGGUCAGUGCCCUAUGGGCGUUAAACUUCUUUUGUGCGGGAGCAAUAAUGGUCACGUGUGGCCAGACGAGAGUACCGUACGAAUAAGCAUCGGCUAACUCCGUGCCAGCAGCCGCGGUAAUACGGGGGAUGCAAGCGUUAUCCGGAUUUACUGGGUGUAAAGGGAGCGUAGACGGCAGUGCAAGUCCGGAGUGAAAGCCCGGGGCUCAACCCUGGGACUGCUCUGGAAACUGUAGGCUGGAGUGCGGGAGGGGCAGGCGGAAUUCCUGGUGUAGCGGUGGAAUGCGUAGAUAUCAGGAGGAACACCGGCGGCGAAGGCGGCCUGCUGGACCGUAACUGACGUUGAGGCUCGAAAGCGUGGGGAGCAAACAGGAUUAGAUACCCCAGUAGUC
This 458-nucleotide ribosomal RNA is filed under the name uncultured bacterium. RNAcentral describes it as "partial 16S ribosomal RNA". It matches the Rfam family "Bacterial small subunit ribosomal RNA", at positions 338 to 795 of the family's 1533-position model. The record is from RNAcentral.